GGGCUCGCUUUGGCAGCACAUAUAACUGUAAUUGGAAUGAUACAGAGAAGAUUAGUAUGGCUCCUCUGCAAGGAUGACAUGCAUAUUUGUGAAUUAUUCCUUCUUUUU
Molecule: small nuclear RNA, 108 nt
Organism: Marmota marmota marmota (Alpine marmot)
Lineage: Eukaryota; Metazoa; Chordata; Mammalia; Rodentia; Sciuridae
Source: Ensembl